GGGCCCGCACAAGCAGUGGAGUAUGUGGUUUAAUUCGAAGCAACGCGAAGAACCUUACCAGGGCUUGACAUACAGUCGGAUGUGGUGGAAACACUGCAGUCCUUCGGGACGGCUGUACAGGUGGUGCAUGGUUGUCGUCAGCUCGUGUCGUGAGAUGUUGGGUUAAGUCCCGCAACGAGCGCAACCCCUGUUGUUAGUUGCCAUCAUUAAGUUGGGCACUCUAACGAGACUGCCGGUGACAAAUCGGAGGAAGGUGGGGACGACGUCAAAUCAUCAUGCCCCUUAUGUUCUGGGCUACACACGUACUACAAUGGCUAUUACAGAGGGAAGCGAAGGAGCAAUUCGGAGCAAAUCCCCAAAAAUAGUCCCAGUUCGGAUUGUGGGCUGCAACCCGCCCACAUGAAGUCGGAAUUGCUAGUAAUGGCAGGUCAGCAUACUGCCGUGAAUACGUUCCCGGGCCUU
RNAcentral lists this ribosomal RNA (462 nucleotides) under uncultured bacterium. Its description in RNAcentral is "bacterial SSU rRNA". It matches the Rfam family "Bacterial small subunit ribosomal RNA", at positions 917 to 1382 of the family's 1533-position model. The record is from RNAcentral.